RNAcentral lists this ribosomal RNA (493 nucleotides) under uncultured bacterium. RNAcentral describes it as "bacterial SSU rRNA". It matches the Rfam family "Bacterial small subunit ribosomal RNA", at positions 40 to 518 of the family's 1533-position model. The record is from RNAcentral.
CGAUAGGCCUAACACAUAGCAAGUCGAGGGGCGAGCACAUGAAGUAGCAAUACAGAUGGUGGCGACCGGCGCACGGGUGAGUAACACGUAUGCAACCUACCUUCAACAGGAGAAUAACCCGGCGAAAGUACGGACUAAUACUCCAUAAUACAGGGAUCCCGCAUGGGAAUAUUUGUUAAAGAUUUAUCGGUUGAAGAUGGGCAUGCGUUCCAUUAGCUAGUUGGUGAGGUAACGGCUCACCAAGGCAACGAUGGAUAGGGGAACUGAGAGGUUUAUCCCCCACACUGGUACUGAGACACGGACCAGACUCCUACGGGAGGCAGCAGUGGGGAAUAUUGGUCAAUGGAGGCAACUCUGAACCAGCCACGUCCGCGUGAAGGAUGACGGCCCUACGGGUUGUAAACUUCUUUUGUAAGGGAAUAAAGUUUAGUACGUGUACUAUUUUGCAUGUACCUUACGAAUAAGGAUCGGCUAACUCCGUGCCAGCAGCAGC